Odocoileus virginianus texanus is the source of this 490-nucleotide non-coding RNA. The record is from RefSeq and is a predicted model, not a curated record. Lineage: Eukaryota; Metazoa; Chordata; Mammalia; Artiodactyla; Cervidae.
GGAACUUCAAGUUCACAAGUCAUCUCCUUUCAAGGCAGGUGCCUGGUGUGACAUCAGGGUUAUGACCAUGCCUCUUUUCAGAACAGCACAAACUGCAUUAGUUGGCAGAAGACGUGAUGGAAACCACUAGUGCUAAGGGAUUAAUGUGGAGCCACGGAGGAGUGUGAUAGACUGAAGAGGCUACAUCAGUGUUACAAGGGAAGGACCUGGCACCCAGAGCUGGGCACUGGAAUCUGGGCGUCUGACAGCACCCUAACUGGUGUGUAAAUGCCACAGGAUUCAGGAAAAGCUGCUUAUUUCAGAAGGUGAAAGCAAGAGAUGCUUUGAAGUAUCCAUCGCUACAGAUAAAUGACUGGGAAAGGGUCUUGCAACUUUCUCUGGGUGGCAAAUCUUUUCCCAGCCUCUGAGCGACUCCUGUGCCCUGGUAAACUCCCAGCCUCUUUUUUACCUCCGUCUUGUGCAGAGGUUAAGAAAGUGAACUGUAACACGA